Molecule: ribosomal RNA, 613 nt
Filed under: Lamproserica sp. BMNH 671446
Lineage: Eukaryota; Metazoa; Arthropoda; Insecta; Coleoptera; Scarabaeidae
Description: partial 16S large subunit ribosomal RNA
Rfam family: Bacterial large subunit ribosomal RNA
Source: RNAcentral
UUUAAAGUCUAAUCUGCCCUAUGAGGAGUUAAAUGGCCGCGGUACUUUGACCGUGCAAAGGUAGCAUAAUAAUUAGUUUUUUAAUUGAAAGCUGGAAUGAAUGAUUGGACGAGAAAAUGGCUGUCUCGAUUUAGAUUUAAUUAGAAUUUUAUUUUUAAGUUAAAAAGCUUAAAUUUAAUUGAAAGACGAGAAGACCCUAUAGAGUUUUAUAUUUAGUUAUAUAUUAUUUUUUUAGAAUUAUUAUAUUAAUAUAUGGUUAAUUAUUUUGUUGGGGUGACAGAAAAAUUUAAUGAACUUUUUUUAUAUAGAAUCAUUGAUUUAUGAAUAGAUGAUCCAUUUUUUAUGAUUAUAAGAUUAAAUUACCUUAGGGAUAACAGCGUAAUUUUUUUUUAGAGUUCUUAUCGAAAAAAAAGAUUGCGACCUCGAUGUUGGAUUAAAAUUAAUUUUUGGUGUAGAAGCUAAGUGAUUAGGUCUGUUCGACCUUUAAAAUUUUACAUGAUCUGAGUUUAAACCGGCGUGAGCCAGGUUGGUUUCUAUCUUUAAUAAUAUAAAAUAUUUUAGUACGAAAGGACCAAAUAUUUGUAAAAUUUAUUUAUUUAUUGAAUAAUAUUAG